This is a long non-coding RNA of Wasmannia auropunctata (little fire ant), 469 nucleotides long. RefSeq lists it as uncharacterized. Lineage: Eukaryota; Metazoa; Arthropoda; Insecta; Hymenoptera; Formicidae. The transcript has 2 exons. The record is from RefSeq and is a predicted model, not a curated record.
UGGCAGCUGCUUUCAGCUUCCUCGCAUUAUUAAUCUUGUAGUGUCCGAUUGUGAAUAUUUUCCUCAAAAAAACGUAUUCUCGUUUUCCCUCCCUUACAUCACAUCAUAUAUCGGUGCUCGUACACGAUUGUGGAAUCCGAAAAAUGAGAAAAAAAUUUGUGAAUUUCAUCUUUUGUAAGGGAUGCCGGCGACGAGGUUAAAGUCCCGAGUGACGUGUCCGCAAGAACGUCGAAAUGGCAGAAAAAGUGAGGGCAGCGCGAAAAAAGAUCAUGAACGGAGUGACGCUGGGAUGCGCGUCUCUUUCAUAUGCAAAUUUAAACUUAACAAAAGUGCGACUGAAUAAUGCAGUCGCCCGCGGUGUCGGCUGGAUUUUAUUUCACUGUUCAAUACCACUAAGAGUUACUGCUGUGCCAUGUAUAAUAAUGUAAUAAAGGGUGACAACACCGUCCUCCAAUUAUUUAAACAAGAA